UCAAAAUAUUUUAAUCUUCCUCAACAUCAACAAGGUAUCAAUGCAUUGAACCAUAACCAACUCGACAUUUAGACAAGGAUAUGAAGACUCAAUACAUAAUAUUUUCAACAAUUUAACUCAUCAAAACCAUCCGAAAAAUACCAAGACUCAUUGCAACUUCAAUAUCAACAUUUCUCAAUUUGUCAUCCAACUCUCAUUUAAAGGUACUUGAGACAUCAACCCAUAGUAGGGAUAUAGAAUUUCCAAUAUCAAUUAUA
This 257-nucleotide long non-coding RNA is filed under the name Capsicum annuum. Its description in RNAcentral is "long non-coding RNA (CANN_LNC022281)". Lineage: Eukaryota; Viridiplantae; Streptophyta; Magnoliopsida; Solanales; Solanaceae. The record is from RNAcentral.